Molecule: ribosomal RNA, 497 nt
Filed under: uncultured bacterium
Lineage: Bacteria
Description: partial 16S ribosomal RNA
Rfam family: Bacterial small subunit ribosomal RNA
Source: RNAcentral
GACGAACGCUGGCGGCGUGCCUAAUACAUGCAAGUUGAGCGAUGAAGCUUGGUGCUUGCAGCAAUUUGAAGAGCAGCGCACGGGUGAGUAACGCGUGGGGAAUCUGCCUUUGAGCGGGGGACAACAUUUGGAAACGAAUGCUAAUACCGCAUAACAACUUUAAACAUAAGUUUUAAGUUUGAAAGAUGCAAUUGCAUCACUCAAAGAUGAUCCCGCGUUGUAUUAGCUAGUUGGUGAGGUACAGGCGCACGAAGGCGAUGAUACAUAGCCGACCUGAGAGGGUGAGUGGCCGGAUUGGGAGUGUGACAGGCCACAUACGGACUCAGAAGGGAGCAGUAGUGAUUCGGGGGCAAGGGGCGAAAGUCAGAGCGAGAAACGCCGCGGGAGUGAAGAGGAAUGUCGGAUGGUAGAUCUCGGUUGUUAGGGAGGAACGUUGGUGAGAGUGUAAAGCACAUCGAGUGACGGUAACUACUCAGAAAGCGACGGCUAACUACGUG